This 4518-nucleotide long non-coding RNA is filed under the name Heterocephalus glaber (naked mole-rat). RNAcentral describes it as "lncRNA (ENSHGLG00100048768.1)". The record is from RNAcentral. Lineage: Eukaryota; Metazoa; Chordata; Mammalia; Rodentia; Bathyergidae.
CAUUCACCCAACAGUGCCAAACCCUUAUACUCUGUUAAGUCUCAUCCCUCCCAGUCAUGUGUGGUACUCAGUAUUAGAUCUUAAAGAUGCAUUUUUCAGCCUGCCUCUAGCUCCUGUGAGCCAGCCUCUCUUUGCCUUCGAAUGGACUGACUUAGAGACUGGAUCCACUGGACAGCUGACAUGGACCCAGCUGCCGCAGGGAUUCAAAAACUCCCCCACUCUGUUCAGGGAAGCUCUCAACAAAGAUCUGCAAGAGGUAAGAAAAGUGUUUCCCCAGGCGACUAUUCUUCAGUAUGCUGAUGACCUCCUGGUGGCGACUUCAAAUGAUAAGGAAUGCAUUGCAGCCACCGAGGGCCUCCUGAAAGCCCUCCAGGAACUGGGAUAUCGGGUGUCCUGGAAGAAAGCUCAACUCUGCCAGACCAAGGUAACCUACUUGGGCUAUAUUCUUGAAAAGGGAAAGAGGAGGCUGGCAGGAUCAAGAGUAUCUGCAGUUCUCCAGAUUCUGAAGCCAGGCUCAAAGAAACAGGUGUGAGAGUUCCUAGGGGCAGUUGGCUAUUGCAGGAUUUGGAUUCCUGGCUUUGCUGAGAUUGCCAAACCCCUACAUGAGGCCACUGCAGGAGGAAAUACACCCCUCGAAUGGACUGAGGCUUGCCAGCAGGCAUUUCAAUUGCUUAAGACUGCACUUGCAUUGGCACCAGCCCUGGCAUUGCCAGACUUAAACAAGCCCUUUACCCUGUAUGUGGCAGAGAAAAAUGGGGUAACUAAGGGAGUGAUUACUCAGCUUUUGGGCCAUGGAAAUGGCCUAUGGCAUACCUCUCAAAGAAGCUCAACCCAGUGGCCUGAGGGUGGCCUACUUGUUUGAGGACAAUAACAGCAGCAGCUGCUUUAACCCGAGAGGCUGACAAAUUGACCUUUGGACAAGAUUUGACUUUAAAAAAAUAAGACUGAGAUAUUGACAUUGCGACAAACAAUCUGGUUGCCUGGAGAGGUCGCCAUUAUCCAUUGCCACAGGCACCAGAAGGGGCUUAGCCCCAAGAUGAUUGGUAAUAAUGCUACUGACCGGGCAGCAAAACAAGCUGCCGAAAAAUCAGUGAGGAAGCAAAUGGUUCUGUUUCCCACACGGGUACUCCCAGAAAAACCUGAAUACACAGAUAAAAAAGUAGCGGAAAUGAACAGGAGACACCGGACUUGAAAAAAAAAAAAACAUAGAUGAUGGAUGACUAAGGAUAAAAAGGUGGUGCUCCCAGCCACUGUAACAGACACGUUGCUGCGAGAACUACAUGAGUCCACCCACCUCAGCGAGAAAAGGAUGAAGGCUGCCCUGCAACUUCAUUUCGUCAGCCAGGGAUUAGCCCAAAAGGCCCAGGACACGGUGAGACAAUGCCCCACCUGCCUCAAGGUUUGAUUCCAAGACCCUGGAACCUCGUUGGAAGGGACCGGUUCCUAUUGUCCUGUCGACUCCCUUGGCAGUGAAGGUGGCUGGACAUUCUGCCUGGAUACAUCGCAACCAUCUAAAAGCAGGACCCCCCACAGACAUCAAAAAAGACAAAUGGAAGGUUAUCAGCCAACCAGGUGACCAAAAGCUAAGACUGGAACAGGUUGGAGACGUUUCACCUUAAUGAUGAUAUUCUCUGGGACACUGGCAUUAUUGCCCCCAAGAGGACUAGAUCACACAAAAAAAAUGUAUAGAUUCAAUUGGCAAACUCGCUUAACUUGUCUGAAUUCUGCUUAAAUGCUGAUGUAAAUUUCCAUCAUGUGCUGGGAAGCUGUCUCAUUCCGGUAUGCACCUCUUUAGAGUUAAUACGACCCCAUACCCUAUUUAAAGACAUCCCAGGAAAAAAUCUUACUUACACAGAUAGUUAUAAUUGGGGACAUGACACGUGCUGUAAACCUAAAAAUGCUGUCAAAUUAUAUACACCCAAGGUAAUUAUGUCAAACAAAACUAAAUGUGCUAUGUAUGAAAAUUGUACAACCAAGUGUCUGAGGAUAAAACAGCCAAAAGGGAUGUCCUGCCACAUAAAACAAAAAAUUGUGUAUAAUAAUUGCCAUAUCUCCCUGCCCAUAGGAUGGUUUUAUACCUGUGAAGGAAUAACCUUUAAUUAUAUUCCAGCAAAUUUAACCAAGACCCGUUGCUGUUUGAGUUGUCUAGCUGUAGUGUUGCCAGAUAGGACUGAUUUGGUUGUGCCUAACAGAACUAAACGUUGGUCAUCUUACACUACACCGGGAUGUGAUGAUGAUGUAGGUCUGUUAACAGAUGCAGAAGUAAUAACCAUGAUAGCAUCUUUUAUUGCCCUACCUUCUAUAGGAGUCCAUGCUGAAAAGGCAGUGCGAAAAUUAGGUUGCAAGGUGGUCAAAGGGUUAAAUGCUACCUCAUCAGCCUUGGCAUUAGUUAACCAAGAGUUACAGGAACAGAGACAGGCAAUCUUAGAUAAUAGAGCAGCAAUAGACUAUUUGUUGCUCCUCCACCACCAAGGUUGUAAAAGAGUAAAAAAUAUGUGUUGUUUCAAUCUUACCAAUAAUGGUCCAAAGAUAGAAAAAAAGGUAGAACAAUUAAAAAACCUGGUUGAAAAAAAUAUAUAAUGAGGAUGGCAGAGACUUGUUCAAAUGUUAACUUCGUGGUUGCCCAACCUACAAUGGUUAAAACAACUUUUUCUUGUCAUCAUAGUUGUGUGUACAUGCUUAUUAUUGUCAUGUUGUUGUAUACAAUGGAUACCUACAUUUGUGCGUAAGAUUACUUAAAUUCCAAAAAAAAUCAGUGGGGAAUGUGGGACUGCAUAACCUUUGCCCCUUUUUCUCCAGCCCCAUUGUGAUUAAAAUGUGAGUUAAUGGAUGGAGAUGUUUGUUAGUCUAGAGAUGCUAGAUAGGGAUCUGUAACCGACCUAGGGUCCCAGAGUAAACUACUCAACUCUUUGUUUAUCCAGAACUGAUAUUCCAGGCACCACAAUUGUUAGAACAAGCUGCAGAUGUCUGCUAACCAUCAAUAUGUGACAGUCGACCACUAACCUUUGUCCCCUUUUCUUUGAUAUGUUAACUUCCCCCUCAACCCCCUAUAAAAACAGCCUUGGAUUCUGAGCCAGUUGCCUCUCUAAGCUAUUUUGCUUUGGGAGUGCUGUCUGGCCAGACUAAUAAAGGUCUGUUUCCCAACUUGGCUGGUGUGUUCCUUCCCGGGUGGUCUUCACUGUAGUCAGCUCCUUGGAAUGUUUGGUAAGGCUUUUGGUCUUACAUUCUGAAGGCACCACUGGGAUUCCUGGGUGUGCUUCACUAGUCAGCUCCUCGGAGCAUUUGGUAAGGCCCUCGGUCUUACACUUGUUCAUGUUGUUAUUUGCUAAUUUGGGAAUUAUCUUCAAAUAAGAGAAAAAAAGUCAUAGCUAAACUGUGGUGAGCUCUCACUGUACAGCCUCUAGUAUAUGCACUUGAUGCUUACUUGCCUAUUAUAUGCUGAUAGCAACCUAAUGAUGUAGAUUUUACAUCAAUUUUCCAGACAAGAAAAUUGGUUCUUAUAGAGGGCCAGGAACCAGCUUGGGUUCAUGUGACAGGUAAGUGUGUCACUGCUUUGAUCUGACUCCUGAGAGUCCAGAAUCAGUACUUCACUAGGUUUGCUGCACUGUCUACCUAUGCUAAACCCACUGCCCUGCUGAAAUAAUCUGGGUACCUGUAGGUAGAAAGGAGAAAAAGAAUUUCAAUUUUACAUUGAAAUUAUACUUUUGUACUUUGAAGGAAACCUGCAGCUUCAGAACACAAAAGUUAUUUAAGACAUUUUUCCCUUCCAGGAAACUAACUCCAAAAAAACAGAAACUAAAAAUUCAAAAGGGUCUUAAAGAUACAAUAAGCUUUUAAAUUGGGGUCUUGGCUUGUGCUUUUCACCUGUAAAUUCUGCUUCCUCCCACAGACCUCCAUUCUCAAGGAAGCAGCAAUAUUAGUGGGUGGCAGAUCUCAGUUUCAAACACAGAUAACUGGUUUGCCUUCUGACAUAGCUACCAGAUGGGUAAUGUGACAGAAGUAGGAAUACCAUCCUAGAUUGCCCAUCUUGAAGACCUCCUAGGGCCCAUGAAAAUACCCACCUCUGGAUGAUAAUGUGCAUCUCUCUCCUGAGGCUGCAUACUCUAUUUCUUUGAAUGAGUACUUUCAAAUGUCUGCCUAAUAAAUCCUUUUGUGCCUCUUACUGAUGUGUCCUGAAAAUUCUUUUUCUGCAACAAGAGUCAGUGAACCUGGAAAUUCAAUUCUAUGGGUAAAAUGGGUUUAGAAACCUCCUAGGACCCUGUCUGGUGACAGCACAUCUUAGAUACUCAGGUUUGCAAUUUUCAAAGAAAACUCAAAAUGUCAUCUCAGACCAGGAUACACUGCCAUGUUUCACAUACACUUUGCUCACAUUUCACUGGUUUCUAAACGUCAGAAACUCCUGUGUUACAUGAGUAAUGCCUGCUGACUAUUCCUUUACUAGAAAAAAAAAUGCUACCCGCAUAUGUCCUGCUCAUGAGUCUUCCAAAUCUCUCAAAAGGAAUAAUUCCUCAAUACCAC